CUUCAACGCGCCCAGCCACAGCGGCCGUUCGGCGCUGUGUCCCCGCCCGUACGUGGCGAUCAGGGCCUGCGCCUC
RNAcentral lists this antisense RNA (75 nucleotides) under Streptomyces rubellomurinus. RNAcentral describes it as "ASpks TB sRNA". It matches the Rfam family "ASpks TB sRNA". RNAcentral also lists the same sequence under 2 other names. The record is from Rfam by way of RNAcentral. Lineage: Bacteria; Bacillati; Actinomycetota; Actinomycetes; Kitasatosporales; Streptomycetaceae.